RNAcentral lists this long non-coding RNA (495 nucleotides) under Androctonus crassicauda. The record is from RNAcentral. Lineage: Eukaryota; Metazoa; Arthropoda; Arachnida; Scorpiones; Buthidae.
AGAAAUAUUCCAAUGUUAUAAUAAAUGGAUGGAAACACAAAGGAAUAAACAUCAAUGGAGAAUAUUUCAAUCACCUGAGAUUUACAAACAAUAUAGUACUGUUCACCAAACACCAAAUGAACUACAUGAAAUGCUAAGUGAUCAAGACAGAAAGUGACUGCAAAAAUAGGACUGAAAAUGAACUAUGAGAAGACAAUGCUCAACACAAAAGUAAAUUCACAACCAGUAAUGAUAGAAAGUUGGACAAUUGAGAGUGGAAGAAUAUUAGUACUUAGGACAAAUAAUCACAACACCAGGAGAAUAAAUGAGAGAAAUUCAACACAAAAAGCAAUUGGAGUGGUAUGCAUAUGGCUGAUAUAUCAACUUGAGAUAAUAAGAUAUCAAUAUGGCUUGAAAAGAGACUUUGAUAUAUGCAUAUUACCAAUAAUGACAUGGUUGUGAAACAUGGAUCCUUAUAAAGAAAAUGGAACAGAAAUUAGCAACAAAAGAUGAAAG